GGGGUGCUCGAGUGGCGAACGGGUGAGUAACACGUGAGUAACCUGCCCUUGACUUUGGGAUAACUUCAGGAAACUGGGGCUAAUACCGGAUAGGAGCUCCUGCUGCAUGGUGGGGGUUGGAAAGUUUCGGCGGUUGGGGAUGGACUCGCGGCUUAUCAGCUUGUUGGUGGGGUAGUGGCUUACCAAGGCUUUGACGGGUAGCCGGCCUGAGGGGGUGACCGGCCACAUUGGGACUGAGAUACGGCCCAG
RNAcentral lists this ribosomal RNA (249 nucleotides) under uncultured Actinomycetales bacterium. Its description in RNAcentral is "partial 16S ribosomal RNA". It matches the Rfam family "Bacterial small subunit ribosomal RNA", at positions 84 to 334 of the family's 1533-position model. Lineage: Bacteria; Bacillati; Actinomycetota; Actinomycetes; Actinomycetales. The record is from RNAcentral.